AAUCGUCGACCUGCAGGCAUGCAAGCUUGGCGUAAUCAUGGUCAUAGCUGUUUCCUGUGUGAAAUUGUUAUCCGCUCACAAUUCCACACAACAUACGAGCCGGAAGCAUAAAGUGUAAAGCCUGGGGUGCCUAAUGAGUGAGCUAACUCACAUUAAU
This 157-nucleotide ribosomal RNA is filed under the name uncultured bacterium. Its description in RNAcentral is "partial 16S ribosomal RNA". The record is from RNAcentral.